UUUUCAAAGUGUGAGUUUUGGUUAGAACAAGUACAAUUCCUCGGACAUUUAGUUAACCAUGAAGGAAUUCAUGUAGAUCCAACAAAGAUCGAGGCAAUUACCAAAUGGAAAACCCCAGAGUCACCAACUGAAGUUAGAAGUUUCUUAGGAUUGGCCGGUUAUUAUAGAAGAUUUAUUCGAGAUUUUUCUAGAAUAGCCAUUCCUUUAACUAAGUUAACCUGUAAAUCUGUUAAGUUUGAAUGGGGACCAAAACAAGAAGAAGCCUUUAGAAUCCUUAAGCAAAGAUUAACCCAUACACCCAUACUAGCGUUACCAGAAGGAACUGAAGACUUUGUAGUCUUUUGUGAUGCUUCUAAGUUAGGUUAUGGAUGCGUAUUGAUGCAACGUCAAAAGUGUUAUAGCUUAUGCAUCUAGACAGCUUAAGAGUCAUGAAGGAAAUUAUUCGACCCAUGAUUUGGAAUUAG
This 464-nucleotide long non-coding RNA is filed under the name Helianthus annuus (common sunflower). RNAcentral's name for it is "sRNA HanXRQr2_Chr06g0243921". Lineage: Eukaryota; Viridiplantae; Streptophyta; Magnoliopsida; Asterales; Asteraceae. The record is from RNAcentral.